AAGACCAAGGGUUCCUGUCCAACGUUAAUCGGGGCAGGGUGAGUCGACCCCUAAGGCGAGGCCGAAAGGCGUAGUCGAUGGGAAACAGGUUAAUAUUCCUGUACUUGGUGUUACUGCGAAGGGGGGACGGAGAAGGCUAUGUUAGCCGGGCGACGGUUGUCCCGGUUUAAGCAUGUAGGCUGGUUGUCCAGGCAAAUCCGGAUAACCAAGGCUGAGGUGUGAUGACGAGGUACUACGGUGCUGAAGUAACAAAUGCCCUGCUUCCAGGAAAAGCCUCUAAGCAUCAGGUAACAU
Molecule: ribosomal RNA, 294 nt
Filed under: Klebsiella pneumoniae
Lineage: Bacteria; Pseudomonadati; Pseudomonadota; Gammaproteobacteria; Enterobacterales; Enterobacteriaceae
Description: partial 23S ribosomal RNA
Rfam family: Bacterial large subunit ribosomal RNA
Source: RNAcentral